CCUAAAUCCGCACAUAUACCGACACACCUUCAUGGGUGCUCAUAUCGCAUAUAUGGGUUUGAUCGUGGGGUAUAUGGAGGCCUAAC
RNAcentral lists this small RNA (86 nucleotides) under marine eukaryotic metagenome. Its description in RNAcentral is "t44 RNA". It matches the Rfam family "t44 RNA", at positions 13 to 95 of the family's 95-position model. From Rfam's summary of the family: This family consists of a number of bacterial RNA genes of between 135 and 170 bases in length. The t44 gene is found between the map and rpsB genes in all species in the full alignment apart from Shigella flexneri. The function of this RNA is unknown. The record is from RNAcentral.